This 269-nucleotide ribosomal RNA is filed under the name uncultured prokaryote. Its description in RNAcentral is "partial 16S ribosomal RNA". It matches the Rfam family "Bacterial small subunit ribosomal RNA", at positions 524 to 792 of the family's 1533-position model. The record is from RNAcentral.
UACGUAGGAGGCAAGCGUUAUCCGGAUUUAUUGGGCGUAAAGCGAGCGUAGGCGGCUUUUCAAGUCGGAUGUAAAAUCUCCCGGCUCAACUGGGAGGGCGCAUUCGAUACUGUUGGGCUAGAGGGCAGCAGAGGAAGACGGAAUUCCCGGUGUAGUGGUGAAAUGCGUAGAUAUCGGGAGGAACACCAGUGGCGAAGGCGGUCUUCUGGGCUGUUUCUGACGCUGAGGCUCAAAAGCGUGGGGAGCGAACAGGAUUAGAUACCCUCGUA